Molecule: ribosomal RNA, 619 nt
Filed under: uncultured bacterium
Lineage: Bacteria
Description: bacterial SSU rRNA
Rfam family: Bacterial small subunit ribosomal RNA
Source: RNAcentral
UGCAAGUCGAACGGUAACAGGCCACGCUCAUCCUUCGGGGUGUUGUGGUGCUGACGAGUGGCGGACGGGUGAGUAAUGCUUAGGAAUCUACCCAGAAGUGGGGGACAACCCGAGGAAACUCGGGCUAAUACCGCGUAAUCCCUACGGGGGAAAGCGGGGGACUCUUCGGAGCCUCGCGCUUUUGGAUGAGCCUAAGUCGGAUUAGCUUGAUGGUGAGGUAAAAGCUCACCAUGGCGACGAUCCGUAGCUGGUCUGAGAGGACGAUCAGCCACACUGGGACUGAGACACGGCCCAGACUCCUACGGGAGGCAGCAGUGGGGAAUAUUGGACAAUGGGGGCAACCCUGAUCCAGCAAUGCCGCGUGCGUGAAGAAGGCCUGCGGGUUGUAAAGCACUUUCAGUAGAGAAGGAAAGCUCGAGGUUAAUACCCUCGGGUCUUGACGUAACCUAAAGAAGAAGCACCGGCUAACUCCGUGCCAGCAGCCGCGGUAAUACGGAGGGUGCGAGCGUUAAUCGGAAUUACUGGGCGUAAAGCGCGCGCAGGCGGCUGGGUCAGUCGGAUGUGAAAGCCCCGGGCUUAACCUGGGAAUUGCAUUCGAUACUGCCCGGCUAGAGUAUGG